This 305-nucleotide ribosomal RNA is filed under the name uncultured bacterium. Its description in RNAcentral is "bacterial SSU rRNA". It matches the Rfam family "Bacterial small subunit ribosomal RNA", at positions 28 to 334 of the family's 1533-position model. The record is from RNAcentral.
GACGAACGCUGGCGGCGUGCCUAACACAUGCAAGUCGAACGGGGUCAGCCCUUCGGGACUGACUUAGUGGCGAACGGGUGAGUAACGCGUGAGGAACCUGCCUCUCAGUGGGGGACAACAGUUGGAAACGACUGCUAAUACCGCAUAAUGUAUUCCUUGGGCAUCCUUGGGAUACCAAAGAUUUAUUGCUGAGAGAUGGCCUCGCGUCUGAUUAGAUAGUUGGUGGGGUAACGGCCCACCAAGUCGACGAUCAGUAGCCGGUCUGAGAGGAUGAACGGCCACAUUGGGACUGAGAUACGGCCCAG